UGGGCGGGCGGGCCUAAUACAUGCAAGUCGAGCGGACUUAAAAAGCUUGCUUUUUAAGUUAGCGGCGGACGGGUGAGUAACACGUGGGCAACCUGCCUGUAAGACUGGGAUAACUUCGGGAAACCGGAGCUAAUACCGGAUAAUCCUUUUCUACUCAUGUAGAAAAGCUGAAAGACGGUUUACGCUGUCACUUACAGAUGGGCCCGCGGCGCAUUAGCUAGUUGGUGAGGUAACGGCUCACCAAGGCGACGAUGCGUAGCCGACCUGAGAGGGUGAUCGGCCACACUGGGACUGAGACACGGCCCAGACUCCUACGGGAGGCAGCAGUAGGGAAUCUUCCGCAAUGGACGAAAGUCUGACGGAGCAACGCCGCGUGAGUGAUGAAGGUUUUCGGAUCGUAAAACUCUGUUGUUAGGGAAGAACAAGUACGAGAGUAACUGCUCGUACCUUGACGGUACCUAACCAGAAAGCCACGGCUAACUACGUGCCAGCAGCCGCGGUAAUACGUAGGUGGCAAGCGUUGUCCGGAAUUAUUGGGCGUAAAGCGCGCGCAGGCGGUCCUUUAAGUCUGAUGUGAAAGCCCACGGCUCAACCGUGGAGGGUCAUUGGAAACUGGGGGACUUGAGUGCAGAAGAGAAGAGUGGAAUUCCACGUGUAGCGGUGAAAUGCGUAGAGAUGUGGAGGAACACCAGUGGCGAAGGCGACUCUUUGGUCUGUAACUGACGCUGAGGCGCGAAAGCGUGGGGAGCAAACAGGAUUAGAUACCCUGGUAGUCCACGCCGUAAACGAUGAGUGCUAAGUGUUAGAGGGUUUCCGCCCUUUAGUGCUGCAGCAAACGCAUUAAGCACUCCGCCCUGGGGAGUACGGCGCAAGGCUUGAACUCAAAGGGAAUUGACGGGCCCGCACAGCCGCUGAAGCAUGUGUUAUUCGGGAGCAAACCCGCGAAGUAAA
Molecule: ribosomal RNA, 951 nt
Filed under: Niallia circulans
Lineage: Bacteria; Bacillati; Bacillota; Bacilli; Caryophanales; Bacillaceae
Description: bacterial SSU rRNA
Rfam family: Bacterial small subunit ribosomal RNA
Source: RNAcentral